This 19-nucleotide ribosomal RNA is filed under the name Ceropegia bulbosa. Its description in RNAcentral is "partial 26S ribosomal RNA". Lineage: Eukaryota; Viridiplantae; Streptophyta; Magnoliopsida; Gentianales; Apocynaceae. The record is from RNAcentral.
CUGCGACCCCAGGUCAGGC